Athene cunicularia (burrowing owl) is the source of this 402-nucleotide long non-coding RNA. RefSeq lists it as uncharacterized. The transcript has 3 exons. The record is from RefSeq and is a predicted model, not a curated record. NCBI's taxonomy places the organism in Eukaryota, Metazoa, Chordata, Aves, Strigiformes, Strigidae.
CACAAUAUAACCAAUGCUUUGGUCUUACAGCAAGCCAUUAUUUGUUCAGAUAACAAAAGGCCUUUUCAGGUGCAGAUCCACUUCUGGGGAAGAAAAAAACAUGGAGCAGAUUCUGGACUGUUCCCCCUCCAUGGGUGCCAUCAGCACAUAACACACUGGUACCCUGUGAAUGCAGGGUGCUACUCCCCCUUCUUCCUAACGCCAGCAAGAACUGCAAAUAAAGGAACAUUUCACAUAGAUCUGCAGCCAUCUGUUCACCUGAGUUAGCACUGAUGGGCUCCUCAGAGAGCAAACCUCACCUGUCAGAAGAUCAGGAUGGAAAAUAGAAAGGUGAAAACAGAGAGGUACUUUCCUCCUCUGCUCCACAAAGUAAUGUUUCCAGAAAUACCAUGGCUUGAUUUA